AACACCUUUAAUACAGUCCCGAGAGGCUGAGAAGGAAACGGAUAUCUGAUGGAUGGUAACGAGAUUUAUUCCACCAGAUUAGCUCAAUGUGUUCGUACACCCUCUCACUCAAUCGGUGAGAGGGUUUUUUGAU
Molecule: regulatory RNA element, 133 nt
Organism: Bacillus sp. 1NLA3E
Lineage: Bacteria; Bacillati; Bacillota; Bacilli; Caryophanales; Bacillaceae
Rfam family: PyrR binding site
About the family: This family represents the PyrR binding site and terminator structure. This RNA structure is found upstream of a variety of genes involved in pyrimidine biosynthesis and transport.
Source: Rfam